RNAcentral lists this ribosomal RNA (349 nucleotides) under uncultured eukaryote. RNAcentral describes it as "SSU rRNA". It matches the Rfam family "Eukaryotic small subunit ribosomal RNA", at positions 594 to 945 of the family's 1831-position model. The record is from RNAcentral.
AUAGCGUAUAUUAAAGUUGUUGCAGUUAAAAAGCUCGUAGUUGAAUUUCGGGGUUCAUACAUUGGUCGGGCUUUUUGGUCUGUACUUAUGUAAUGGAUUCCUACCUUCUGAAUAACCAGCAUGCCAUUAAUUUGGUGCGCCGGGGAAGCAGGACUGUUACCUUGAAAAAAUUAGAGUGCUUAAAGCAGGCUAUCGCCUGAAUACAUUAGCAUGGAAUAAUGAAAUAGGACGGCAUGGUUCUAUUUUGUUGGUUUCUAGGAUCACCGUAAUGAUUAAUAGGGAUAGUUGGGGGCAUUAGUAUUACGGUGUUAGAGGUGAAAUUCUUGGAUCGCCGUAAGACGAACUACUG